UGGGGAAUAUUGCACAAUGGGGGAAACCCUGAUGCAGCGACGCCGCGUGAACGAAGAAGGUAUUCGUAUCGUAAAGUUCUGUCCUAUGGGAAGAUAAUGACAGUACCAUAGAAGAAAGCUCCGGCUAAAUACGUGCCAGCAGCCGCGGUAAUACGUAUGGAGCGAGCGUUGUCCGGAAUUAUUGGGCGUAAAGGGUACGCAGGCGGUUUAAUAAGUCGAAUGUUAAAGAUCGGGGCUCAACCCCGUAAAGCAUUAGAAACUGAUAAACUUGAGUAGUGGAGAGGAAAGUGGAAUUCCUAGUGUAGUGGUGAAAUACGUAGAUAUUAGGAGGAAUACCAGUAGCGAAGGCGACGUUCUGGACACAAACUGACGCUGAGGUACGAAAGCGUGGGGAGCAAACAGG
RNAcentral lists this ribosomal RNA (403 nucleotides) under bacterium. Its description in RNAcentral is "partial 16S ribosomal RNA". It matches the Rfam family "Bacterial small subunit ribosomal RNA", at positions 355 to 776 of the family's 1533-position model. The record is from RNAcentral.